UGGUGUUUUUCUUCCUGUUUUAUGCAAGUUUUCAUUCAAUGGUGUAGGAAUCAAUGAAUUGAGAAAUUGAUGAUGCCUCAGUCAUCAAGUUUUGUCUCCAAAUAGCUCCAGCAUCAGCUGCAGAGUUGGGUCAUUGCAAAAAAUAAGGGCAUGCAGUCGUUGUCUCGUUUUGCUUCGCCUACUAAGGGUUUCGAAGGAAGGAGCUCAGUACAUAAGAAGAAUGCAUUCCUGAACUCUCUUGACCAAUUUGACAGUGUUGCCUAUUGCAUCCUCUCAAAGUUUUACUUUUGUCAAUUUUUGGUUUCAGUCAUCUACAUUGAGAUACUAUGUUAGAAUAUGAAAUUUCAUUGUAAAUUCAUAUACAUAAAUGGAAAAGAGUGAACUUCAAAAA
Molecule: non-coding RNA, 391 nt
Organism: Salvia hispanica
Lineage: Eukaryota; Viridiplantae; Streptophyta; Magnoliopsida; Lamiales; Lamiaceae
Source: RefSeq, a predicted model, not a curated record